Molecule: ribosomal RNA, 240 nt
Filed under: uncultured Actinomycetales bacterium
Lineage: Bacteria; Bacillati; Actinomycetota; Actinomycetes; Actinomycetales
Description: partial 16S ribosomal RNA
Rfam family: Bacterial small subunit ribosomal RNA
Source: RNAcentral
ACUCGAGUGGCGAACGGGUGAGUAACACGUGGGUGAUCUGCCCUGCACUUCGGGAUAAGCCUGGGAAACUGGGUCUAAUACCGGAUAGGAGCCAUUUUUAGUGUGAUGGUUGGAAAGUUUUUCGGUGUAGGAUGAGCUCGCGGCCUAUCAGCUUGUUGGUGGGGUAAUGGCCUACCAAGGCGGCGACGGGUAGCCGGCUGAGAGGGUGGACGGCCACAUUGGGACUGAGAUACGGCCCAG